AAACUUAAAGGAAUUUGACGGGGGCCCGCACAAGCAGCGGAGCGUGUGGUUUAAUUCGAGGCUACACGAAGAACCUUACCCGGGUUUGACAUAGGCGUAGUAGCGAGGUGAAAGCUGAGCGACCGCAAGGAGCGUCUACAGGUGCUGCAUGGCUGUCGUCAGCUCGUGUCGUGAGAUGUUCGGUUAAGUCCGAAAACGAGCGCAACCCCGGGGUCAGUUACACGUGUCUGACCCGACUGCCUGCGAGAAGCAGGAGGAAGGUGGGGAUGACGUCAAGUCAGCAUGGCCUUUAUAUCCGGGGCUACACACACGCUACAAUGGACGGUACAGUGGGUUGCGAGACCGCGAGGUGGAGCCAAUCCCCCAAAGCCGUUCGUAGUUCGGAUUGUAGGCUGCAACUCGCCUGCAUGAAGCCGGAGUUGCUAGUAACCGCGUAUCAGCGAUGGCGCGGUGAAUACGUUCCCGGGCCUUGUACACACCGCCCGUCACGUCAUGGGAGCUGGUCAUGCCUGAAGUCGGAGAGCCAACCUAACGGGGGCAACCGCCGAAGGCAGGGCGGGUGACUGGGACGAAGUCGUAACAAGGUAGCUGUACCGGAAGGUGCGGCUGGAUCACCUCCUUUCUG
Molecule: ribosomal RNA, 625 nt
Filed under: uncultured Anaerolineaceae bacterium
Lineage: Bacteria; Bacillati; Chloroflexota; Anaerolineae; Anaerolineales; Anaerolineaceae
Description: bacterial SSU rRNA
Rfam family: Bacterial small subunit ribosomal RNA
Source: RNAcentral